CCCGGGGGGUGCUAUACAUGCAAGUCGAACGCGUUGGCCCAAUUGAUUGAUGGUGCUUGCACCUGAUUGAUUUUGGUCGCCAACGAGUGGCGGACGGGUGAGUAACACGUAGGUAACCUGCCCAGAAGCGGGGGACAACAUUUGGAAACAGAUGCUAAUACCGCAUAACAGCGUUGUUCGCAUGAACAACGCUUAAAAGAUGGCUUCUCGCUAUCACUUCUGGAUGGACCUGCGGUGCAUUAGCUUGUUGGUGGGGUAACGGCCUACCAAGGCGAUGAUGCAUAGCCGAGUUGAGAGACUGAUCGGCCACAAUGGGACUGAGACACGGCCCAUACUCCUACGGGAGGCAGCAGUAGGGAAUCUUCCACAAUGGGCGCAAGCCUGAUGGAGCAACACCGCGUGAGUGAAGAAGGGUUUCGGCUCGUAAAGCUCUGUUGUUAAAGAAGAACACGUAUGAGAGUAACUGUUCAUACGUUGACGGUAUUUAACCAGAAAGUCACGGCUAACUACGUGCCAGCAGCCGCGGUAAUACGUAGGUGGCAAGCGUUAUCCGGAUUUAUUGGGCGUAAAGAGAGUGCAGGCGGUUUUCUAAGUCUGAUGUGAAAGCCUUCGGCUUAACCGGAGAAGUGCAUCGGAAACUGGAUAACUUGAGUGCAGAAGAGGGUAGUGGAACUCCAUGUGUAGCGGUGGAAUGCGUAGAUAUAUGGAAGAACACCAGUGGCGAAGGCGGCUACCUGGUCUGCAACUGACGCUGAGACUCGAAAGCAUGGGUAGCGAACAGGAUUAGAUACCCUGGUAGUCCAUGCCGUAAACGAUGAGUGCUAGGUGUUGGAGGGUUUCCGCCCUUCAGUGCCGGAGCUAACGCAUUAAGCACUCCGCCUGGGGAGUACGACCGCAAGGUUGAAACUCAAAGGAAUUGACGGGGGCCCGCACAAGCGGUGGAGCAUGUGGUUUAAUUCGAAGCUACGCGAAGAACCUUACCAGGUCUUGACAUCUUGCGCCAACCCUAGAGAUAGGGCGUUUCCUUCGGGAACGCAAUGACAGGUGGUGCAUGGUCGUCGUCAGCUCGUGUCGUGAGAUGUUGGGUUAAGUCCCGCAACGAGCGCAACCCUUGUUACUAGUUGCCAGCAUUAAGUUGGGCACUCUAGUGAGACUGCCGGUGACAAACCGGAGGAAGGUGGGGACGACGUCAGAUCAUCAUGCCCCUUAUGACCUGGGCUACACACGUGCUACAAUGGACGGUACAACGAGUCGCGAACUCGCGAGGGCAAGCAAAUCUCUUAAAACCGUUCUCAGUUCGGACUGCAGGCUGCAACUCGCCUGCACGAAGUCGGAAUCGCUAGUAAUCGCGGAUCAGCAUGCCGCGGUGAAUACGUUCCCGGGCCUUGUACACACCGCCCGUCACACCAUGAGAGUUUGUAACACCCAAAGUCGGUGGGGUAACCUUUUAGGAGCCAGCCGCCUAAGUGACCAGAAU
RNAcentral lists this ribosomal RNA (1477 nucleotides) under Limosilactobacillus fermentum. RNAcentral's name for it is "bacterial SSU rRNA". It matches the Rfam family "Bacterial small subunit ribosomal RNA". Lineage: Bacteria; Bacillati; Bacillota; Bacilli; Lactobacillales; Lactobacillaceae. The record is from RNAcentral.